CGGCGGACGGGUGAGUAACACGUGGAUAACCUACCUAUAAGACUGGGAUAACUUCGGGAAACCGGAGCUAAUACCGGAUAAUAUAUUGAACCGCAUGGUUCAAUAGUGAAAGACGGUUUUGCUGUCACUUAUAGAUGGAUCCGCGCCGCAUUAGCUAGUUGGUAAGGUAACGGCUUACCAAGGCAACGAUGCGUAGCCGACCUGAGAGGGUGAUCGGCCACACUGGAACUGAGACACGGUCCAGACUCCUACGGGAGGCAGCAGUAGGGAAUCUUCCGCAAUGGGCGAAAGCCUGACGGAGCAACGCCGCGUGAGUGAUGAAGGUCUUCGGAUCGUAAAACUCUGUUAUUAGGGAAGAACAAAUGUGUAAGUAACUAUGCACGUCUUGACGGUACCUAAUCAGAAAGCCACGGCUAACUACGUGCCAGCAGCCGCGGUAAUACGUAGGUGGCAAGCGUUAUCCGGAAUUAUUGGGCGUAAAGCGCGCGUAGGCGGUUUUUUAAGUCUGAUGUGAAAGCCCACGGCUCAACCGUGGAGGGUCAUUGGAAACUGGAAAACUUGAGUGCAGAAGAGGAAAGUGGAAUUCCAUGUGUAGCGGUGAAAUGCGCAGAGAUAUGGAGGAACACCAGUGGCGAAGGCGACUUUCUGGUCUGUAACUGACGCUGAUGUGCGAAAGCGUGGGGAUCAAACAGGAUUAGAUANCCUGGUAGUCCACGCCGUAAACGAUGAGUGCUAAGUGUUAGGGGGUUUCCGCCCCUUAGUGCUGCA
This 768-nucleotide ribosomal RNA is filed under the name Staphylococcus sp. SAL_6. Its description in RNAcentral is "bacterial SSU rRNA". It matches the Rfam family "Bacterial small subunit ribosomal RNA", at positions 96 to 850 of the family's 1533-position model. The record is from RNAcentral. Lineage: Bacteria; Bacillati; Bacillota; Bacilli; Caryophanales; Staphylococcaceae.